RNAcentral lists this ribosomal RNA (439 nucleotides) under uncultured bacterium. Its description in RNAcentral is "bacterial SSU rRNA". It matches the Rfam family "Bacterial small subunit ribosomal RNA", at positions 340 to 773 of the family's 1533-position model. The record is from RNAcentral.
UACGGAAGGCAGCAGGGGGAAUAUUGCACAAUGGGCGCAAGCCUGAUGCAGCCAUGCCGCGUGUAUGAAGAAGGCCUUCGGGUUGUAAAGUACUUUCAGUCGUGAGGAAGGUGUUAAGGUUAAUAACCUUAGCAAUUGACGUUAGCGACAGAAGAAGCACCGGCUAACUCCGUGCCAGCAGCCGCGGUAAUACGGAGGGUGCGAGCGUUAAUCGGAAUUACUGGGCGUAAAGGGCACGCAGGCGGUUAAUUAAGUUGGAUGUGAAAUCCCCGGGCUUAACCUGGGAAUGGCAUUCAAGACUGGUUAGCUAGAGUCUUGUAGAGGGGGUUAGAAUUCCAUGUGUAGCGGUGAAAUGCGUAGAGAUGUGGAGGAAUACCGGUGGCGAAGGCGGCCCCUGGACAAAGACUGACGCUCAUGUGCGAAAGCGUGGGGAGCAAAC